UACGUAGGGUGCGAGCGUUGUCCGGAAUUACUGGGCGUAAAGGGUGCGUAGGCGGUCUUUCAAGCCAGAAGUGAAAGGCUACGGCUCAACCGUAGUAAGCUUUUGGAACUGUAAGACUUGAGUGCAGGAGAGGAGAGUGGAAUUCCUAGUGUAGCGGUGAAAUGCGUAGAUAUUAGGAGGAACACCAGUAGCGAAGGCGGCUUUCUGGCCGACAACUGACGCUGAGGCGCGAAAGCGUGGGGAGCAAACAGGAUUAGAUACCCUGGUAGUCCCU
This 274-nucleotide ribosomal RNA is filed under the name uncultured prokaryote. Its description in RNAcentral is "partial 16S ribosomal RNA". It matches the Rfam family "Bacterial small subunit ribosomal RNA", at positions 524 to 798 of the family's 1533-position model. The record is from RNAcentral.